AUUGAACGCUGGCGGCAUGCUUUACACAUGCAAGUCGAACGGUAACAGGCCUUCGGGUGCUGACGCGUGGCGGACGGGUGAGUAAUGCAUCGGAACGUGCCCAGAGGUGGGGGAUAACGCAGCCAAAGCUGAGCUAAUACCGCAUGUGAUCUGAGGGUGAAAGCGGGGGAACAAGCAGCAAUGUUUGGGCUCGCGCCUCUGGACCGGCCGUUGUCGGAUUAGGUAGGUGGUGGGGUAAAGGCCUACCAAGCCGACGAUCCGUUGCUGGUCUGUGUGGACGACCAGGCACACUGAGACUGAGACACGGCCCAGACUCCUACAGGAGGCAGCAGUGGGGAAGGUUGGACGAUGGGCGCAAGCCUGAUCCAGCAAUGCCGCGUGGGGGAAGAAGGCCUGCGGGUUGGAAACCGCUUUUGUACUGAACGAAAAGGCUCUGGCUAAUACCUGGGGCUGAUGACGGUACCGAAAGAAUAAGCACCGGCUAACUACGUG
Molecule: ribosomal RNA, 492 nt
Filed under: uncultured bacterium
Lineage: Bacteria
Description: partial 16S ribosomal RNA
Rfam family: Bacterial small subunit ribosomal RNA
Source: RNAcentral